AUGAAAAACAAAAAUAUUUUAUCAUCACCUGAGGAGAUCUCUCAUCCGGAAUUCGACAGAAACAAGCACUGUCUUCUCUGUUCAGAGCUGAAGCAACUUUAUGUUGCCAUCACACGAACUAGGCAAAGAUUGUGGAUAUGUGAAACGGCAGAUGAUUACUGUCGGCCAAUGUUUGACUUCUGGAACAAGUUGUGUCUUGUAGAAGUAAGAUUACUUGAUUCUUCCUUCAUUGAAGCAAUGAAGACAGGAAGCAGCACUGAUGAUUGGAGGCGACGGGGCACCAAGGCUAAUGAUGCAUACAGAGAGAAGUGGGCAAGAGCUGGCGGACUUGUAGCAACUGCAGACAGUGUCAUGCCUAAGAAUUUGGAGCUGGGCCAGGCUUCAUUGCAAAAAGCGGCAGAGAUUUAUGAAUCUAUUGGCAUGCACGAGAAAGCUGCCAGUUGCUAUAUCAAGUUACACGACUACAAAAGAGCAGGAAUGAUGUAUAUGCAAAAUUGCAGCACUUCAAGGCUUGAGGAUGCUGGUGACUGUUUUGCUAUGACUGAAUGCUGGUCAGAAGCAGCCGAAGCGUACUUCAAAGCUAAAUGUUAUACCAAAUGUCUCUGCAUGUGCUCUAAACGAAAACUAUUCAGUUUAGGGCUCCAGUUCCUAGAGCAGUUGUGGGAGGAAGCUUCAGUUGAUGAGUCGAACAUUGGUCUACUUUACUCGCCAGCUGCAUAUGGUCUGAUUGUUGAUUCCCUUGAUGCACAUCUCAGGCCGUCAAAUAAGAAACUGACACAUGGGCAACUUGGGAGAAUGGCCAUACUUCUGCUACACGUAGUACCUUGGGGUGCCAUGCUGACUUCAAGACUUAUGCAGUACCUGGACAGCGAAUCUGAGUGGACAAAUUUUUUUCAAUCUUUGGAUAUAUUUGUUCACCACAGUCGUUAUGAUUUUUUCGAACACAUAGAAAGUCAACACCCUAGUGGUCUUGAUGGCAGAUAUUCCUUGCUCCUGAACCUAAAGCUUGCUCUUGAGUCCACCUUCAAGUUUACCUUGAACGCAAACUGGAGAGCCGAACCGGAUUACAUAUCCCCAAUGUGCUGUGUGGAUCUCAUAGUGUCUUGGUUAUUUUGCUUCAUCAUGUUUUGUACUUCAUGGUUGCAUGUUCUCCACAGAAUCUAUUUUUCUCAAGAUGGUAAUGCGCAAAAACUGCAGCCUUUACUUUCAGAGUUGUUUGAUGUCUACGCCAGAUCGGGAACUAGAGAAAAUGUCAAUAUCAGUGGGGCGUUUCAUAUUUGA
RNAcentral lists this ribosomal RNA (1281 nucleotides) under Triticum aestivum (bread wheat). Its description in RNAcentral is "partial small subunit ribosomal RNA". Lineage: Eukaryota; Viridiplantae; Streptophyta; Magnoliopsida; Poales; Poaceae. The record is from RNAcentral.